Long non-coding RNA from Cyprinus carpio (common carp), 412 nucleotides. RefSeq lists it as uncharacterized. The record is from RefSeq and is a predicted model, not a curated record. NCBI's taxonomy places the organism in Eukaryota, Metazoa, Chordata, Actinopteri, Cypriniformes, Cyprinidae. The transcript is spliced from 3 exons.
CAUUUGUUUAAAAAACAUAAUUUUGUUACAAAAUGUCCUUUUGUUGGCUGUGUUCUCUGGAGACCCCAAACAGCACGAGUGUCCUCCCCAAACGAACAGCACAUAAGAGUUAAACAAAACACUUUAUACUCAAUAUCUCAUGAUGAAUGUGUUCACAUUAUAUUUGUGAAAGAUUCUUAAUCUUAAUGAUUUGUUUGUAAGAUGAUCUCUCUUCCUCUGUUUGUCUCUUUCUAGAAUAAUUAACUGUGGCAUUACAGAUGUUUCUUCUUUAACUCAGUCUUUGACAAACACAAAAGCUCUGCAGUUUCUAAAAGAGCUUGAUCUGAGAUGGAAUAUGAUUAGAGACUCAAGGCAGAAGCUCAUUGAUGUGCUACGAGACUCAAACUGUGAACUGAGUGUAGAUAGAUAGAUA